GCCCUGGUGGCAUAGUGGUUAAGCGUUCAGCUGCUAACUGAAAGGUUGGCAGUUCAAUCCACCAGGCCC
This 69-nucleotide transfer RNA is filed under the name Loxodonta africana (African savanna elephant). It matches the Rfam family "tRNA". Rfam says of the family: Transfer RNA (tRNA) molecules are approximately 80 nucleotides in length. Lineage: Eukaryota; Metazoa; Chordata; Mammalia; Proboscidea; Elephantidae. The record is from Rfam by way of RNAcentral.